Molecule: ribosomal RNA, 468 nt
Filed under: uncultured bacterium
Lineage: Bacteria
Description: partial 16S ribosomal RNA
Rfam family: Bacterial small subunit ribosomal RNA
Source: RNAcentral
GACGAACGCUGGCGGCGUGCUUAACACAUGCAAGUCGUACGGAAAGGCCCUGCUUUUGUGGGGUGCUCGAGUGGCGAACGGGUGAGUAACACGUGAGUAACCUGCCCUUGACUUUGGGAUAACUUCAGGAAACUGGGGCUAAUACCGGAUAGGAGCUCCUGCUGCAUGGUGGGGGUUGGAAAGUUUCGGCGGUUGGGGAUGGACUCGCGGCUUAUCAGCUUGUUGGUGGGGUAGUGGCUUACCAAGGCUUUGACGGGUAGCCGGCCUGAGAGGGUGACCGGCCACAUUGGGACUGAGAUACGGCCCAGACUCCUACGGGAGGCAGCAGUGGGGAAUAUUGCACAAUGGGCGGAAGCCUGAUGCAGCAACGCCGCGUGCGGGAUGACGGCCUUCGGGUUGUAAACCGCUUUCGCCUGUGACGAGGCGUGAGUGACGGUAAUGGGUAAAGAAGCACCGGCUAACUACGUG